AACGUAAGGGCACGAGAAAAGCGUGCCCACCCCGUAACCAGUUGGAAGCUGAAAAUGUCGACCGAGACCAAAAAAAGAGAACCAAUUUAGCAGUUAGCCAGCUUUAACGAUUAUCGAGCUGGGCAGGAUUUAGGGCUUGUAGCUCAGCUGGUAGAGCGCUGCCUUUGCAAGGCAGAGGCCCUGGGUCCGAAUCCCAGCAAGUCCAUUUAAAAACCAAAUGUAUGCACACAUCAAGGCAGACUCGAUGUGGAAGGGUGGAGGUCCGUUUUUCCGCAAAAAGACGGUCCGAAGAAACCGUGUACAAGCUUUGCGACCAGACGCUCACUGAGUUUAGUGGGGCAUA
This 343-nucleotide transfer RNA is filed under the name uncultured archaeon. RNAcentral describes it as "16S-23S ribosomal RNA intergenic spacer". The stretch from base 133 to 205 matches the Rfam family "tRNA". The record is from RNAcentral.